RNAcentral lists this unclassified non-coding RNA (331 nucleotides) under Hevea brasiliensis (rubber tree). Lineage: Eukaryota; Viridiplantae; Streptophyta; Magnoliopsida; Malpighiales; Euphorbiaceae. The record is from RNAcentral.
GUUGGAUUCGAACAAAAUCUUCAGCAAUCAAGUUUGGGAGUGCUAGUUCAUUUGAUUUCAAGAAUCUGGUAUUUGACAAUAUCACUAUAGUUGAUUCUCACAGAGGGCUGGGACUGCAGAUACGUGAUGGAGGAAAUGUGAGCGACGUCACUUUCUCAAACAUAAACAUUAGUACUAGAUACUAUGAUCCAUCAUGGUGGGGGAGAGCAGAGCCUAUUUAUGUGACGACUUGCCCGCGGGACUCAAAUGCAAAAGAGGGCUCUAUAUCUAAUUUACUCUUCAUUAACAUAACAGCAACUUCUGAAAAUGGCAUCUUCUUAUCAGGUUCUAA